GAUGAUGUGGUUUAAUUCGAUGCAACGCGAAAAGCGUGACCCACCUUUGACAUGUACGGAGUUCGCCAGAGAUGGCUUAGUGCUCGAAAGAGAGCCGUAACACAGGUGCUGCAUGGCUGUCGUCAGCUCGUGUCGUGAGAUGUUGGGUUAAGUCCCGCAACGAGCUCAACCGUUGUCAUUAGUUGCUACAUUCAGUUGGGUACUCUAAUGAGACUGCCGGUGACAAACCGGAGGAAGGUGGGGAUGACGUCAAGUCCUCAUGGCCCUUAUAGGUGGGGCUACACACGUCAUACAAUGGCUGGUACAAAGGGUUGCCAACCCGCGAGGGGGAGCUAAUCCCAUAAAACCAGUCGUAGUCCGGAUCGCAGUCUGCAACUCGACUGCGUGAAGUCGGAAUCGCUAGUAAUCGUGGAUCAGAAUGUC
RNAcentral lists this ribosomal RNA (423 nucleotides) under uncultured Variovorax sp. RNAcentral's name for it is "bacterial SSU rRNA". It matches the Rfam family "Bacterial small subunit ribosomal RNA", at positions 935 to 1358 of the family's 1533-position model. The record is from RNAcentral. Lineage: Bacteria; Pseudomonadati; Pseudomonadota; Betaproteobacteria; Burkholderiales; Comamonadaceae.